CUCAAAUCUGAAUUGCAGUCAUGUGGUCCUCAGCCGGUAGCCGGCAUCGCAGUAUCUCCCUCCUCCACCACUGCGAUGGGGGGAGGGGGGGGGAGUGCCCCGCGCUGCGUACUCUACAAUGCCCCGGUGUGAGUCACAGUUGCGUUACGGGUCCCGAAGACAGCAUCGCGCAGCUUAUUUUCCCGCGCUAAAAUCAAAGUUACGUGUUUUAUCCCACCGCAAUCGACUUUUUUUUUUCGCUCUCUACAGUGAAUUUUACAAUUGCAAUUUGAAUGGAUUGUCACGCCAACGAUACAGUGAGAUCAAUUGAUCUAGUGACGCGUCGAUCAUUAAUUUUAACCGCCUAUUUUUCUCGCGCUGACCUUUGGGCUCAAUCAGUUCUAAGAACAGUGCGUGUGUGAUAUGGCAGGCUAGACAAACCGGGUCCAAAUAUGCCGAGAUUCUGAAGCUCGAGUGCCAUCUUUUCUUGAAAUAAAAUUGUGUAUUCGUGUCUGUGCGGAUCUAGUUUACUGUCAAUAGUUUUUUUACAAUCCAUACAUUUUAGACCCCUCGACUAAUGCCCCGAAAUACUUACCACCAAUCACUACUUCAAACACGAAAGCCCUCGAUCUAAAGUCUGCUGUAAGUGAAUCUGUUUCAUACAAGGCCUUUACAUUUUCCGGUAACGGUAACUUGAGAUUGGUGAGAUAUCGAAUCGAAUCGGGGUUUUUUCGUCGAUUUCUAAGUGAAUCAGUGUUUACGUUCUACCACGGUGGUUCCGUAAGUCUUAUGGUUACGGUUUUUACGGUCUGGUACGUCCCGUGUGUUUACACCCGUAAGUGCCCAUGCGGUGAGCCUGUGUCGGCGUCACCUUAAAGUGCCCCCCCCCCCCCUCACGACUUAUCGCCGGAAUCAAAAUGAGUGCAUCAAUUCGCUUCGUGUGUGUGGCCUUGUGCUUAGUGUCAGUGCACAUCUCAGGAAUAAACAGUGAGAGGAGCCUGUGUGACGUCUGUGCUUGCUCCCCCAACAGUGAUGAGCCCAUCAGGAUUUCAUGCGACUGCCAGAAAUCGAAGAUGCUGUUCUUCAAGGAGGAGGACGAACAGACCCUGAUGCAGACGGAGGAACUUCGGAUCUCGGCGUGCAACUUCCUCUCGCUGCCGGCCAACGGCUUCGUCCGCGCCACCAAGCUCCGUCACCUUCGUCUGGACUCCCUCAACUACUUCCACUUCUUCCGCGGGGUGUUCCCCUACCUGGAGACCCUCCACGUGGACCGCGUCGCCAACUUCAUCUUCGCCGAGCUGUCGCUGAGCACCGGGAAACAGCUCGAGAGGAUAACCCUCCGCCACACCAACCUCAAGGAGCUCCCGCCGUUGGCACUCCACGAGGCCCGCGGAUUGAAGAGCUUCGAUAUCCACGGCUGCAACAUCACCACCGUCACCCCUGGGGCGCUCUUCAACGCCAACAACACCAACUCUCCGCUCAGUCUCCGCAUCACCGACUCAGUUAUCUCGCAAAUCAUGGAGGACGGCAUCAACAUCCUGGGUGAGGAGCUGGCCGUCCGUAACUCGACGAUCGGGAUGCUGGGGCCCCGCUCCGUAACGGCAGCCGUCCGUAACUUCGCGGUGGCCACCUCCACGUUCACGGACGUCAACGCCGACUCGCUCCACGUCAAGGCGGCCGUCAUCAACAUCAGCGGCAACGCUUUCGCCGCCCUUCCACCACCUUUCCUUAGUGACCUCCACAUCACUGAUGCGGAGGCCGCCUCCGCGGAGGACAUGUUCCCCGAUGAGGACCAGAGGGUCAAGAUCGAGUUCGCUAAUAACUACCUGGACGAUAUCGACCUUAGCGCCUUCUUCUUGAAGCUCCGUUAUCGAGAGGUGAAUUUCCAGAAGAAUCGAAUCGACUGCGAUUGUGCUCCGGCCCGGACAGCCGUCUUCAAACUGCCGACUCUGUUCCCAGGGCUCUCGCCGAUGGCCAACAGAACGGCUUACGAGUACAUCAUCGAGCACAAUUAUUGUGCCCAGCAGAACGUUUCGCUCGGCGAGUACGGUCGCCAGUUCCUAGGGGGCGCUGUUUGUUCUGACAGAGCCCUCAACGAUGCGCCCACGGAGCUCAACGAGAUCACCGAUGAGCCCAUCCCGCAGAAGAACUUGCUAGCAGCUGGUGCUGCUGUCAGUCAUUCGCUCUGUUUAUGGUUCAUUGUCGCCGUUCCCUUGCUUAGGCUUACGUGA
RNAcentral lists this long non-coding RNA (2210 nucleotides) under Bemisia tabaci. RNAcentral's name for it is "lncRNA ENSSSA1UGG002648". Lineage: Eukaryota; Metazoa; Arthropoda; Insecta; Hemiptera; Aleyrodidae. The record is from RNAcentral.